AUUGAACGCUGGCGGCAGGCCUAACACAUGCAAGUCGAGCGGAUGAAGGGAGCUUGCUCCUGGAUUCAGCGGCGGACGGGUGGGUAAUGCCUAGGAAUCUGCCUGGUAGUGGGGGAUAACGUCCGGAAACGGGCGCUAAUACCGCAUAAGUCCUGAGGGAGAAAGUGGGGGAUCUUCGGACCUCCCGACAUCAGAUGAGCCGAGGUCGGAUUAGCUAGUUGGUGGGGUAAAGGCCUACCAAGGCGACGAUCCGUAACUGGUCUGAGAGGAUGAUCAGUCACACUGGAACUGAGACACGGUCCAGACUCCUACGGGAGGCAGCAGUGGGGAAUAUUGGACAAUGGGCGAAAGCCUGAUCCAGCCAUGCCGCGUGUGUGAAGAAGGUCUUCGGAUUGUAAAGCACUUUAAGUUGGGAGGAAGGGCAGUAAGUUAAUACCUUGCUGUUUUGACGGUACCAACAGAAUAAGCACCGGCUAACUUCGUG
This 484-nucleotide ribosomal RNA is filed under the name uncultured bacterium. RNAcentral describes it as "partial 16S ribosomal RNA". It matches the Rfam family "Bacterial small subunit ribosomal RNA", at positions 30 to 507 of the family's 1533-position model. The record is from RNAcentral.